This 357-nucleotide ribosomal RNA is filed under the name Triticum aestivum (bread wheat). RNAcentral describes it as "partial small subunit ribosomal RNA". The record is from RNAcentral. Lineage: Eukaryota; Viridiplantae; Streptophyta; Magnoliopsida; Poales; Poaceae.
AUGGAGCUCAAUGUUCACCUCCGUGCUUUUGAUGGUGAUCCCUUGUUUGAUCCUAUGCGUUAUCGUCAUCUUGCUGGGAACCUUAUCUAUCUAGCUGUCACUCAUCCGGAUAUAUCCUAUCAUGUCCAUAUCUUGAGUCAGUUUGUUUUCACUCCUACUUCGGUCCACUAUAGUCACAUUCUUUGUAUUCUAGAUAUCUUCGUGGCGCGAUCUCUCACCGUCUUUUCUUUCCUCGCUCCAGUUCGUUACAGCUUCAGGCCUAUCUGGAUGCCAUGUGGGCUAGUGAUCCUUUGGAUCGCCGUUCACUUUCUGCUUACUGUGUUCUUCUUGGUGGUUCCCAUGUUGCCAGGAAGAUGA